UGUUUGGUUUUGGUUUUAUGCUGAUGAGUUAAGCUGAGUCAACUUUCUCAUCACUAUCAUUUGUGUAGUGCUUAUAGAGAAGACAAUGUCUUACCAGCUUAUCCUAUUAUCUCCCUUCAGAAUGAUCUCAGAGAUUCACUCAAAAAAGCCUACCUUAUCCACCCAUCACUUUCCCCACUUUCACUGUUCCCACUCUUUUUUUUCCUCUUUUCUUUUCUUUUUUUUCUUUUUUUUUUUUUUGGCUGCACCUACAGCAUAUGGAAAUUCCCAGGCCAGGGAUGGAAUCUGAGCAGCAGCUGUGACCUACACCACAGCUGUCGCAACCCUGGAUACUUAACCCAACAUACCAGGCCUGGGAUCGAACCUGUGCCUCUGCAGCAACCCACACUGCUGUAGUCAGAUCCUUAAUCCACUGUGCCACAGUGGGAACUCCCCUGUUCCCACUCUUGAUGCCAGGGGCAAGUGAUAUUCCCUUACCAGUGCUUAAUUCCUUGUGUAUGGCUGUGAAGUAGGUCUUUCACAUCUCUGUUAUGAACUAUGUCACACUGUAUUAUUUAUUAAAUGUAUUAAAUGUAUUCAAGUUAUAUUUUAUGAAUCUUUCUUCCUCUGUCAGACUCUGUAUUCCUUAAAAUCAGAGGAAAUAUUGAUGUUCAGAGUCCUGGGAAGCACCUGGCACCUGGCAUGUGUUUAGUGCUUGAAUGGAUACACAGGUUAUACUAAAUCUUCCUGCAAAUUCUAAGUCCCAUAUCCAAAUAGGUGGGUUUUUAUUUGUUUUCAGCCCAGAAAGCUAGUUAUUGUUAUCUAUACAUUUUCAUUUACAAACAAAAGCUUUGAAAGUAUGCAGCAUUUAUUUUCCUCUUUCCCUCAGAAAACUUUGUAGAUCGGUUUUCAUUAUACUAGGAAGUGAAGAUCUGUAUUCCAUAUUGCAGAACAGAUACAUGAUACAGCCUGACUUCAUGGUGGUGGAAUAUAAUCCUUCAGGAGGAUGGAUUGUUCCUGGUUAAAGAAGCUUUACUAUGGGGACAUUUCCUGUGUUAAUAGCUGUGAGAAAGGGUUUCUUGGAGCCAUGGGCUUCUGAGAGGGGCCUCAGCAGAUAUGACUGGGUGGGAAGGAACCAGCGAACCUGGUUCAAGGGCACCAUGCUUGUCUCUACAUUUGAUUCUAUUAGAAGUCUCAAGGCUCUUCUUUUUUGUCAAGUUUUAAAACCUUUUCAAUCGCUUACUACCCUUGAGGAUGACUGGGGCUUGGCAAUGAGAAGGAAAAACUAAGAGGCUUUUUUGUUCUGACCUUGUUCAGUUAUCUGUCACAGAAAACAGAGCUCUUAGGUCACUGUCCAUCCACUCCUGUGAUGCCAUCCUUGUGUGCUGUGUGGAAGAGUCUAUUGGUUGCAGGAGAUGCUGAAUGUGGUUCUUGGACCUUGAGAUACCCCUGGUCCAGAAGGACUUACAAAUAACAAACUUAACUGUUGCUAUUCUGCAGGUGUGUGAGCGGUAUAAGAAGUGGUGAGAUCACAGAGGUGUCAAAGCAAUGGCCAUGCUCUGUGUGGGUCAGUCUUGAGAGAUGGUGGGAAUUGAUUGAGCAUGCGCAGAGCACAGGGAAGGGACAGUAGGGAGAAGAAAGCUUUCCAGGCAGAAGGAAGAGCAUUAUCAGAGUGAAAGAAGAGGAAGAUGCCUGACAUCUUCCAAGAAGCUCCACAUGUCAUAGAUGGAUUGUAUAUCACACACAAAAUGGGGACUCUGCUAAAAAGGCAGGGGGUGGCCAGAUAGAGAGAAGCCCUGCAUGACAAGGAAGAGCAUACUGAAAUUCCUUCUGGUAGGAGCCAUGCUGUCAUUAAUUUAGAAAGUUGGCUUUUUAUGAAUGAAAUGGGCAGUGCACUCUGAGAUCAAGGCUGGGUAAGAUCCCAACACAAGACACAGGCAUGAAUCAGUCCUGUACGGAAUCUGUGUCCUCUUUGUCCUCCUUUUCUGCUAUUUCCUCUAGCUUCCCUUAUGCUUAAUUUCAUGGUAUUAACUAUGCUCCUUGAAACAUUAAUCCCAAGAAAGAAUAGUAGGUGUGCCGCCAAGAGGAAAAACGUGGUUUCAAGGAAGGGUAGCAGGAACUGUCACAUGUGCAGAUUCAGUGUGAAUUAGCAUGUUAAAGGCUAUGUCUGUAAUAAAGGAAUCUAUUCCUUGUUAUUAAGUUUUGGGGUUUUGUUUUUUUUUUUUAAUCUCAGCAUGACCCAAACCUCUGUGGGCAUCGAACACUUUUGUGCAUAUCCUGUGUACAGACUUGGAGGAAAAGAGACCAUGUGAACUGUAAUUAUCAGAACGCCGGAGGACCUUGAGUUCUUUGAAGGAAAAGCUUUCUCUAUUCAUGGAGACUCAGGGCCUUCCCAUCCUUUUCUUGGUGUAGAAUAUUCAAGAAGCAUUGGUUCUUUUAUGGUAAUAACAAUUCCGACAUGUGCCUCUGCCUGAAUAAUUUAUUCACAUUUUAACUAAAAAGUUUCAAGAAAAAUGCCAGCUGUGGACAUCUGAAAGCCAAAUGUGAAUAUUCUGUGGAGGAGCAGGUGGGGGAGGGGACUGUGGAAAGUCAAGGUCUGGGCUGUGCUGAGAGGGAAAAAUUCCUGAGAAUGGGGUUCCCCCUAGAGGUGGCAGUGAGUCCAGCCACAGGACUGUGGACACAGGGUCCCUGUUCCUGCCUGUUUGGGAUGCUCUGUGCUUCCUGAACAGGCUCCCUGAGAACUGAGCCCAAUUCAGUGGUGGGAAUAGAAGCUUGUUGUUGUUUGCCUGGCUCCUCAGUUUUCCCUGAGCCAGCUUGGAAAAAAAACGUUAAAACCGAAUCAGAAUGGCCUCUGCCUUUCUCACUGAUCCUGACAGGAUAGGUCCAGAGUCUGCUUCUCAUGUGAAGUGUCUGUCCCUGAGCAACAUAGGAGGCCGUAGAGAAGGAAAAAGUGGAGACACGGAUAAGAAAAAGAAAAUGCAAUUGAAGCCUAGUGGUCAUUGUUUUUCUUGAAACUAUGUUUGUAUGUUAUAUGUUUCUAUUAAGGUAUUGCUAAAUGUGAAAUGUUCAUCACAUGGUUGUCACAUGUGUAUGAACAUACAAUUCCCAGUGAUGAUCUCUGAACACAUAUACACAAUGCACACAAUGCACAUGCCUACCCACAUCUAUACAUAUACACACAUGCACAUAAACACACUCACACACCUAUGCAAGCAUUCACAUAAACAUAUACUUGUCAUAUACACACAUAUAUAAACACAUGCAAUGUAUAUAUACACAUAAACAUACACAUGUGCAUAUACACACCGUCACACAUAUACACAUGCACAUAACAUGCACAUAACUUUCAUAAACACAUGCAUACAUUCAUGCCCAUAAUGUAUCCACACAUGUACACGUGCACACAUACACAAUGUCUGUCUUCAAAACUAUGAUAAGACUUUCUUUACUUUGAAAACUCUAAAAAAGCAAAGCUUAAUUCCAUUUUAGUCCAUGCAUUUAAUCACCAUCUAUUGACCUCUGUCAUUUGUAAGGGUACAUUAAACAGACAACAGAAUAAAAUAAAACACUAAGGUCUAAUAAGUAAGAAAAUGGGAUGGAAUUUUGGGAAUAAAUGGAUGAUUUAGUAGGCCAGAUAUUUAUCAUUUCCUCUUUUUUUCUAUUGUCCAUCAGUAAUUCUGUCAUUAGAAUAUUGGCCUUUCUCUCCAUGUAUUUUGAAUGACACUGUUUAGUAAAUAUACUGUGGGCCCAUAGUCACAUGUUAUUGCCUAAAUAACAACCUGUUAUUUAUUCAUUUGAAAACUUAAUGGAAUUUUGAAAUUUUCCUGGAAGAUGCAUUAUGUGGUUUCAUGAGAUGUGUGCUCUAAAUAACACCCUGUGUUGAGGUGAUUCCUGGCUUAGCAUGUGCUAUUCCAGCCCCUGAAAUGACGUUUCCCUGUCUCUCUGGUCCUUCUCCCUUUGGCGAACAGGACCCUUGAGGAAGCUUUGACACUGGGAUUGACACCAGAGAGACUGAAAUGGCUUAUUCUGGGUUCCUCUGCCAUUUUGUACCUCCAACAUUUACAUGUAACUCAUCUGAUCUUCAGGACCAAACACUAGGAUGUAAGAAUGGCCACAUUCCUUUAUUUCUUCCAGUCACUAUGUCUGUAACCUGCACUACCACAUCAGCUGGCGGGACUUUCAACCCUGCUCACCCACCCCCAACGCUCCUAGGACUUCACAGGGUCUCACAGCUGCAGGAACAACCCAUUUCUGUGUUCAUCUUGGUUGCUGAGCAACAGCCCUACUUUUGUGUUUUAAGAUUCAUUUAAAACAGAGAAAGCUGGCAUUCAAUUUUUCUUUUGAAUUUCACGUGGGAAGGCUGGAGUGUUUUAUUUCUAGACAUCGUGUGUAUUGUCUCUGAAUUAAGGCUGCACCAACUAGUAUUGCACAAAGGUUUCUUGUCCUGCUUAGUUUAUAUCUGGACUCAUUCCCUGAUGGAGGUGUCAUCACCGUGGGCACGUUCAGCACACUGGAGAUGGGUGUGGACAUCCUUCAAGUUCUGAAUGAAGAGUUUCUUUGUAUAGGCUCUUGGGAGUUUCCAGAGUCACCGUCCUGGAGUAUGAGUGGUUCUGAUUGGCAGAGCUGAUGGGGACCCGUGUCAAUCGCUUGUAGAACUGAGCUCCACAUCUGGCUCAUUGCCAACAUGUACCCACAAGUGAAAAAUGGUUCACAUUUUAGCUCGUCUUUCCCCAUUUGGUUUAUAUUCUAGUGAGAGGUUUUCCAGAUGUUAUUUGUGUCUGUAUGCCCCGCUGGGUGAAGAACCUCUCCCCUUCCAUCUUCAAUGUUAGGGAACAGAAAGUGACCUUGGUAGUCUUCAUCAGCAACCUGCUUUUCAGAAUAAGAAAACAAAGAUAGAGAGGCAAGGAAAUUUAACAGUCAGCCCUAGGUCUUCAGCUAGACAUAAAGACACCAACUCAGUGGGGAAUCAGAAGAAAGGGGUCUUAUUUCUGAUUCAGCCACAAAAUCACUUCCUUCAGUUUUCUAUAGUAUUGAGAGCAUUGGACUAGAAAGGUAUCCCCAAUGCCAGUCUGUGAUAAUGAAGUUGUGAUACUAAAAUUUUCCACUAACCUGUGAGAUUAUAAGAAUAAUGAGGUAAAAAUUUCAAUCCUUUUUAAAAUAUAUAAAACUAAAUACUUAUUUUUGUGCCUAGUUUUCUUUUGGUUCUUCUUUGAUGAAGUAAUGGCAAUAGUACAGGAUAUUUUUUUUGUCUAAAUAACCAGCUCCUGAUUAUAUCCAGCACUGAUUUUUUUUUUACAUUUUAGAAAAAAAAUGACAUUCUUUGAUAUUCAGCAUUUCUAGAAUCUCUAGUUCAAAUGAACUCUAAAACCCCUUCCAUCUUCCAGUUUGAAGGGAGAACAUAUACUAAGUAGAGUUAAAUCAUUUUUUAGAUUACCAGACAUGUAAAGUAAUAAACAUGAAAAGAAGUACAGCUUUACUCUCUUAGUGAGAUUGUCCAUGUUAAAGGCUUUUCAUCCACUAGGAUUUUCUAGAAGUUAUUUGUGGAUAUGUGUUUGGAUACAAAAUCUCUAGUUUUGACUAAGGUUCUAGAAUAGUCUUCAUUUAAAUAGGUUAGAGAGAAAUUAACCUAAAUAUAAAAAAAAAAAAGUCAAGGAAGAAAGAAAAAACAUACAUAGGGAGGUAUCUGAAAUCUUUUGAGUAUAAUAAAGGACAUACAUUCAUCUGUAUAUUCUUUGAAAGCCUGGUUUGUAUAUACAUUAGACAACACCCUUGCUUUCUUGUAAUUGAACAGAAAUUGAUCAGUCCAAUUAUUAUAUUACAAAAUGCAAAUUUCAACUGCAAUUUUAAAACAAACCACUAAAAAUCUAAAAAUAGGGAUACAGUUUAUUCUCCUUCAUACCUACAUAGAAUAUUGAUGAUGUUUAAAGAAUGUGUUCUAUAGAUAAGAUUUUUGAUUAUAAAAUGAAAUUAGAUUUGUUUCACCCUCAAAGAGUCCCACUGAAAAAUUAUCAUCUAAAAUCUGGAAAAACUUGGAAGAAAAUAGUUUGUAAAGGAGGUUUAAAUUCCUAAGGCUUUUUGUCAGUUCUCCACUUGAAAGGUCUUUUUGCAUAAUGUUUAAUAUGCCCAAAACUUUCCUUUCAUGUUAAGGAUACUUCCAUAUUUAGAGGAUUUGAUGUAAUAGGGGGCACUGCUUUUGUGAAGCAAUCGAUGCAUUAUGUUUUGCCAGUUUAGCAAAUCUUCUUUCUAACCAACCUGACUAAACAUUUCUUUGAAUGCUGAAAAAAUGUGCAAGAGAUAAAAUAUUAAAAAGAAAACCACAUUCAAACAUACAGUAAAAUUUUCAAAAGGGGAUGAAACCUUCUCAUGUGCAUAAAUUGUUUUUUGUUUGGUGAUUUGAUGAUAUAAUAAAUCAGUGACUUUGAUUUUGGUGAAAUGACUCUAGAUGAAGUAUAUUACUUCAAAGGAAAACAAGGAAUAAAGAAAAUUAAAUGAAUUAUGUAAUAAACAUGAAUAGUAGGUUAAAGACAAGGGCAAAGAAAAAGGUAUGAAUCUUUUAAAUUUUCUUUCACUUUAAAAAGUAUCUGGGGUUCUCAUUGUGGCUCAACGGUAAUGAACCCAACUAGUGUCUAUAAGGACGAGGGUUAGAAGCCUGGCCUCACUCAGUGGGUCCCAUGAGCUGUGGUGUAGGUCGCAGACGUGACCUGGAUCCUGUAUUGCUGUGGCUGUGGUGUACGUCAGAAGCUGCAUCUCCAAUUCGAUUCCUAGCCUGGGAACUUCCAUAUGC
This 6763-nucleotide long non-coding RNA is filed under the name Sus scrofa (pig). RNAcentral describes it as "lncRNA (ENSSSCG00000058353.1)". The record is from RNAcentral. Lineage: Eukaryota; Metazoa; Chordata; Mammalia; Artiodactyla; Suidae.